Long non-coding RNA from Gasterosteus aculeatus aculeatus (three-spined stickleback), 1472 nucleotides. Lineage: Eukaryota; Metazoa; Chordata; Actinopteri; Perciformes; Gasterosteidae. The record is from Ensembl.
GGAGAGUGUAUACGCAUGCACAGCUUUGCAGGCCCACCUGGCCAUAUGUGCGCGACAGAAUCUUUGCGUGUGAGCGAACACCAUUAGCCGGGCGAGUGUGAAUGCGGGCGUGUGGACGCGGGCCAGACACAGCGUGAACAGCUCAACGCAAAGCAGACCUUCAUCCCGUAACCCCCUACUACUGUAUAUCACCCGCCAUCAUAAGUAUGCAAUCUCAACAGUUGCGCCUGCCUUCCUACUUAGAAAUGUUUCAAUUUGUCAUACAAGCAGGAAAGUUGUCAGCACCUGAGGUGUGGAGUGUACGAAAAGGUCAUCCGCUAAUGUUAAUGGAGUUACAAAAAACACAACCAUGCAUCAUUAUGGACGGAAGGUAUUGUUAAAUAAUGACUAAAGAAUAACGCGCUGGUUGCCUCAGGACAACUCAGUGAGUCGGUGAAUAAUAUUGUACUCAACACUUUGAAACAGUAAAAAGAAAAAUUGCAUUUUAGUUCAAAAAGUUGGUCUCAAAGACGUCACCCACUCUGAUUUUGGACAUUUUGAAGUUUGGCAUUUUUGGUUCUUUUAUUUUUUUGGACCGUACACACAGGAGAACGUAGUUACAAGUUCAACCAAAUGGGACCCAAAUCUGAAAUAUGUCAAAUUUCUGAAAUCAGGUUAAAGUGACCCUCAGCAGCCACUAAAUCAUUACCUGCUUUAUGGUCUGAUUUGCUCUAAAUGGGAGCAUAAGUUACAAUCUGAACAUCAGCUUUUGUCAAGAAGACUAGAAAAUAGCGAUUGAGAUGAUUGAUUGAGACCAUAAACUCAUGUUCAAUGUUUUUUUGAGCUACUAUAAUUUAGAAGUAGAAGAAGUCAUUUUCCCAUAGACUUCUGUACAAUCCGGCUUCUUAAAAACCAAAGGAUUCACAGUUUCACUGCACUCUUUUUUCACUUUUCAGAACCGGCGAUUGCAUCUAACUAGAAGCUUUAUGAGACUCUCAGUGGUCAAAACUGUGUCCGUCUCCCCCCAAGACUCUAAAAAUGGAGUGUGGGUGUAUGUAUUAAAGAAAGAGGAAACGUAUCUCCUAACAAGUGAUUCAAAUGUUGUUGUCCAGAUGCUUUUAGGGGAAAAUAAAGCGAAAUAUUUCCAGGUAAUUUGGGACUCACCAGGGACAACUGAUUUUGUGAUGCGAAAACACAUUUUCUUUCACCGUGUACUUUUCUGCAUUACUUUUCAAAUGAUUCUAAUUCUUUUGAGCUUAUUCAUCUUAUUUGUGGUUGUUUUCAAUGGUUUUCAGGGGUUUUGGACAGUUACUUACACAGCUCAACAUUACAUAACUGUAUUAAAUGCAGCCCCUGGGGACAGAAGAAGUAGGGGAGACACAUUUUGACUGCUCUACUUACGGGGCCAAUGCUGUAACCAAAAUAAAUUGCUUCCUUGUAGCAAUCCUGCAGUACUAAUGCGGGAUAGCUGCACGUAAGGCGGAAUUUCUACA